ACCUGCCCAUCAGAAGGGGAUAACACUUGGAAACAGGUGCUAAUACCGUAUAACAAUCGAAACCGCAUGGUUUUGAUUUGAAAGGCGCUUUCGGGUGUCGCUGAUGGAUGGACCCGCGGUGCAUUAGCUAGUUGGUGAGGUAACGGCUCACCAAGGCCACGAUGCAUAGCCGACCUGAGAGGGUGAUCGGCCACAUUGGGACUGAGACACGGCCCAAACUCCUACGGGAGGCAGCAGUAGGGAAUCUUCGGCAAUGGACGAAAGUCUGACCGAGCAACGCCGCGUGAGUGAAGAAGGUUUUCGGAUCGUAAAACUCUGUUGUUAGAGAAGAACAAGGAUGAGAGUAACUGUUCAUCCCUUGACGGUAUCUAACCAGAAAGCCACGGCUAACUACGUGCCAGCAGCCGCGGUAAUACGUAGGUGGCAAGCGUUGUCCGGAUUUAUUGGGCGUAAAGCGAGCGCAGGCGGUUUCUUAAGUCUGAUGUGAAAGCCCCCGGCUCAACC
This 504-nucleotide ribosomal RNA is filed under the name Enterococcus durans. Its description in RNAcentral is "bacterial SSU rRNA". It matches the Rfam family "Bacterial small subunit ribosomal RNA", at positions 124 to 614 of the family's 1533-position model. The record is from RNAcentral. Lineage: Bacteria; Bacillati; Bacillota; Bacilli; Lactobacillales; Enterococcaceae.